CCAACUUGAAGGGAUUCCUACCUGCCAAACCUGGGACAAUUAGAGCAUCUGAGUAAAUAAUAGUAAUGAAUUCUUACUCAUUGAAUAAAAGCAGGAAAGAUGAGACCAUACCGAUAAAAGUGAAUAAAUUGAAAGCUUGAGGAAUGGGAAAUUUACAUAACUUCAUUAUGUGUCUGUAGGAGGCUUGUGAGUUACAAGGGAAAAAGGAGUAAGUUCAUGGUGCAGAACCCAAGCAGCCACUAACUGAAGAGACCAAGUGAACAUCACCAGGAGUGGAAGGAGUUGAAAUCAUGUCCACCUGGGAGGAUGUGAUGCAUAGCAUUCCUUCUGUGAGCCAGAGACUUUAACCUGAAUCUGAACAGCAUGAGGCAAGCCAAAACGGAUUUGCUGCUGAAGAACUGGCCAGUAAUCUUUGAAACCGUCAAGCUCAAGGAAGUCAAAGGUGGCCCGGUGGGUGCUCUGGAGGCAGUGCUGGAUUCCAACACCGAGGUCGCUCCCUUUCGAGUUCUGCUUCAAGUUCCCGGCUCACAGGUGUACUCUCCCAUAGCAUGUGGAGAGUUCCUGGAUGGAUGUGACGUUCACUGGGCCAUAGCCACUGGUGCCACAUUAGAGGAAAUCAACCAGCACUGGAACUGGCUGGGACAGAAUCUCCUCCAUACUCUGUCUGUGUUUGAUUAUAAAGACGACAUGGCCAGCUUUGUCAAGGGGAAGGUGAAGGCUACCAAGAAAGGAGAAGCUGCACGCUGUGGUGGACUGCUCCUCUGGAUGCCCUUCAGUCGGUUCCACACUGCAGGGCACAUGAUUUCCUCUGACAGCUCCACCUGCUUUGCCAGCAGAGAAGAUGGCUGCUACAAUGUUGUCCUUCCGCUCAGAGAGGUAGUGAGCAUGGAGAAGAUGGAGGACACCAGUCUGCUGCCCAGCCCCAUCCUCAUCAGCAUCAGGAGCAAGAUGGCCUUCCAGUUCAUCAAGCCAAGGAUAGACAGACCUUGGUGGAGACCCUGCUUGAGAGACUGAAGCGGGUCCACGCCAACCAUCCUGUACACUAUGACACCUCAACCAAUGACAAGGACAUGGCUGGACACACAUCACCUGUUUUGUACUUGACAAGCAUGUGCACUGAGCACAAGUUUGGGGAUCUUGAAAUGGUGUCCUGUCACAGCAGCAAGGAGCAUGAAGACAAGAGCCCACCUCUGCACCCUGGACCCCUGACUGUCGUCCUCCAGCCUUUGGGCAGCCAGAACCCUGACUCUCACCUGGUUGGUGAGGCCACUCCUUUCCUGGUGUGCCAUGGGCACUGGAGGCUGGGCAAUGACCGUGGAGGGUGUGGCACCUGAGCACCACCUCCUCUGGACCCGGGUGGAGAGGUGGCCAUGGACCUUGGGCAGCAAGGGCUCUCUUGAGGGCUCAGACAGCAGAGGGGGAGCCGGCCUUUCCCCUGUCCGUUAGUGGCUCUCAUGUCAUUCCUGCUGUGUGACUUGGGCAGUGGGCGGUGCCGGCCCUGUGGGUUUUCAGGUGUCAACCAAGUGUUCCUCCCACUGGCCGGUGGCAUCUGUGAGCAUCUCAGUGUCAGUUUCCCGCUGUGUGUCUUGGGACAAAGGGCUGCCUGUCCUCUAGUUUUAUGAACUAAAAUUAUUUUUGCUACAUUCAUACUUUUUUCUUUAUAUGGAAAAUUUGAGGCAAACAGACUCCAAUUUCAUAACUAUACUCU
Sciurus carolinensis (gray squirrel) is the source of this 1708-nucleotide RNA transcript. It is a transcript of the gene named TBC1 domain family member 8-like, with no coding region annotated. Lineage: Eukaryota; Metazoa; Chordata; Mammalia; Rodentia; Sciuridae. The transcript is spliced from 6 exons. The record is from RefSeq and is a predicted model, not a curated record.